This 253-nucleotide ribosomal RNA is filed under the name uncultured bacterium. RNAcentral describes it as "partial 16S ribosomal RNA". It matches the Rfam family "Bacterial small subunit ribosomal RNA", at positions 524 to 776 of the family's 1533-position model. The record is from RNAcentral.
UACAGAGGUCCCAAGCGUUGUUCGGAUUCACUGGGCGUAAAGGGUGCGUAGGUGGCGAGGUAAGUCGGAUGUGAAAGCUCCGAGCUCAACUCGGAAAUGGCAUUGGAAACUACCUUGCUCGAGGGUUUGAGGGGGGACUGGAAUACUUGGUGUAGCAGUGAAAUGCGUAGAUAUCAAGUAGAACACCAGUGGCGAAGGCGAGUCCCUGGAAAACUCCUGACACUGAGGCACGAAAGCUAGGGGAGCAAACAGG